AGGACGAACGCUGGCGGCGUGCCUAAUACAUGCAAGUCGAACGAACUGUGGAAAGCUUGCUUUUCAGAGUUAGUGGCGAACGGGUGAGUAACACGUAAGUAACCUAGCUAUUAGACGAGGAUAACUACUGGAAACGGUAGCUAAGACUGGAUAUGAUAGAAAUAUUUAAAGGAUGCUAAGGCAUCGCUAAUAGAGGGGCUUGCGGCGCAUUAGCUAGUUGGUAGGGUAAAAGCCAACCAAGGCGAUGAUGCGUAGCCGACCUGAGAGGGUGACCGGCCACACUGGGACUGAGACACGGCCCAGACUCCUACGGGAGGCAGCAGUAGGGAAUCUUCGGCAAUGGACGAAAGUCUGACCGAGCAACGCCGCCGUGAGUGAAGAAAGUUUUCGGAUUGUAAAGCUCUGUUAUUAGGGAAGAAAGGCUCUAGGAGGAAAUGCUUAGGGAUUGACGGUACCUAAUGAGGAAGCCACGGCUAACUACGUGCCAGCCGCGGC
RNAcentral lists this ribosomal RNA (495 nucleotides) under uncultured bacterium. Its description in RNAcentral is "bacterial SSU rRNA". It matches the Rfam family "Bacterial small subunit ribosomal RNA", at positions 26 to 518 of the family's 1533-position model. The record is from RNAcentral.